This is a long non-coding RNA of Rhincodon typus (whale shark), 2094 nucleotides long. RefSeq lists it as uncharacterized. NCBI's taxonomy places the organism in Eukaryota, Metazoa, Chordata, Chondrichthyes, Orectolobiformes, Rhincodontidae. The transcript has 3 exons. The record is from RefSeq and is a predicted model, not a curated record.
AUGUGGCAUCUGAACAAGUGAUAGCUGCUGACAACAACAACAAGCAUUUUUAUGGUGCAUUCAACGUAGUAAAAUGUCCCAGGGCAUUACACUGGAGAGUUACAUGACGCCGAACAACACAAGGAACUGUUAAGGAAAGGGCCAAUCAUACUCAGCACUUCAGACGGAACAGGCUGCAUCGAAAACCUCAAACUUACUGGUGCUUCAAGCUGUGGGCAGGCAAACAAAGUGGCAACAGGCGUGUGAGAACAGCUGGGAAAUACUCACUCUGGACAGAUGCAUGAAGAGAUCAGCCAUGGACACUGGUGACUCUGCCUCCUGUGUAAGUACCUUAGCUUGUACUGAGUAAGGUCCUUUUUAUCCUCCCUCAUCAUUACGAAAAGCAUCCAAAAGUAGCACUGUUAUGUAGCUUGAAGAUAUGAAGCUUGCUGAAUAUCUACUGAGGUAAAUGAAGGUAAUAUACAGCCACAUAAAAUCAUGAGCGUCAAGUUUAUUUAAUCAGGGUUACUAAUCUCUGGGGCUUUUUGAGGCCUACAAUAUCAGGUAUUCCUCUCUUUGAUUGUGUGUGCUGCUUUAGAGAGACAGGAUGAUAAUUAGCAAAUUAAAAAUAUUUGUGGGUGUGUUGCAAGAUGGACUGAGGAUGGGGCAAUGGUGAAUUGAAAGUCAAGUAUGUAGAACAUGAAGAGAGGAAGGAAUGCUGGGAGGAAUUAGUGGUUGUGCAAGCGGGUUUGAGAAGAGAAUGGUGUAAAAAUGUGAUCUGAAGAAGAAGGAGUGUGUGUGCUUGGAAUGAGAAAUAGAGGUGUGACUGGGUGCUAUUGUGAUUGGAUGUCGAGGGGAGGGAAUUAUUGAAAAUAGUAGGGAGAGUGAAAGGAGAAGAGGCAGAUAUUGUUGAUGGUGAUGGAGACAGAUGUGUUGCACUUACCCUUGCUAUUCCUAUGAGCUCAUUGCAACUUUUCCUAUAGUACAACCAGUCUAGAACUGAUGCUACUGAUACUAACUCUCUGGGUCACCUCUAUCUUGGCCUGUGGGAAAGGUUGCUUUAUGAGCAAUAGAGAGACAACACCUGUAAAUUUUGGGGCAGCCUAAUGCUGUUUCUUCAAACAAUGACAGAGAAAAACCUAGAAUUAAAGAACAAACUUUGCUGUGCUGUUUUACAGGUGUAUUAGCACACUCAUGAGAGAUACUUCAUUGAAGUGGGUGGGCUUUCCAUUUCCUAACACAAUCGUAUGGCCAGUUUAUUGCAAGAGGCACGCAGGACUGGGUCUCACAGUCAUGACACCAUGAGGGCUUUUGGUUCGGGUAACUGAAGGCUGGGAAGAGGGGAAAACAGAAUCCGGCAGUGGUGGGAAAAGAGGGUGGGAAUGGGCAAAUAGGAGAUCAGAUGUCAGGUUGGGGGAGGGGAAAUCAUGUGGGUUACCUACCCACUCCUGCCAAUACUAACUCUCCUGUGAGACUGAGUACUUUCACCUUUUAGCCUUUUAGUUUUGUGACAGACUGAUAAUACAUUUCCAACUUCGAAAGUUACCAAAUAUUUGGCAGUAAAAAGUUAACACAAAACAAACACCUAAACUUUUGAAGGAUUGGCCAGAAUUCACUAUCAAAAGGACCUGUCCAGGAAGCAGCCUAGAUCACCAUAUAGAACAGGUUCAUCCGCUGUGCUCCUCCUGGUCAAGUAGAUCCAACAUCUGUGUUCCUCCUUGAAAUUAACCACCAGGGACUGGUAUUGGAUGGCAGCCAACUCCUAGAGAACCAACAAGCAAUGAGGAGAGGAAAAGAGAAAGAAAGAUCCAACAUUAUGAUAAAUUUUCACUCUGAGGAUAAGACUUGUAUAUUAUGUAUAGCAUAUGUGUGUAUAUAUAUAUAUAAAAUACUGUCGGAAAAAAUGUCAGUAAAAAACAAUCUUCCCUCACUGUCUGUGUCUGUGUCCUAUAUGACAAUCCCAGGAACAUUAAACUGAUCCCUGUCUGUUCUCACCUUUCUGCUUAUAAAUUGUCACACCUAGAAAGCCCCAUGAUAACUACCAUAUGGCAAUUGUGAGCUGAAACACAUUUGUUUUGACAGAACUAAUGAGUGCCUCAUCCCUAAUAAACGUAA